ACCGCCUCCAGUUCCAUAAAUACCCUCACACAAAUCAGCUAUUUCCACGGGAAAACUUGGGUCCUGUCCUGCAUACCAAGCAUUCACCAAUGGAUUGGUCGCCAGCUCCGCAAUCUCAUGAGCAAUCACACUUAUCAUCCCAUCAACACCCACAUCACCGUUCGGUGACUUUAGUGCCUUCAACCCAGGUAUAUACUUAGGCACGGAAAACGGAUAAGCGCACACACCAGGACACAGCUUUUCACUGUUACCUACCCAAGCAUAAGGCAACGUGUACCCUACGAUCGACGGAAAUGUAAAAUAAUGAAACCCACAAACCUGCCCGCAAAAAUCCUGAACGUACACGUCAUCGGAAGUCAACAACAGAUACAAACCGUUCUUCGGGUUGGUGGGCAGCGGCUUAGAUUUGGCCGUGACGGCACUCUUGAUCACCGACUGUAUAGACAACCUCGUUAAAGACU
This 461-nucleotide long non-coding RNA is filed under the name Populus trichocarpa (black cottonwood). RNAcentral describes it as "long non-coding RNA (PTRI_LNC002974)". The record is from RNAcentral. Lineage: Eukaryota; Viridiplantae; Streptophyta; Magnoliopsida; Malpighiales; Salicaceae.